RNAcentral lists this long non-coding RNA (1206 nucleotides) under Junco hyemalis (dark-eyed junco). RNAcentral's name for it is "lncRNA (ENSJHYG00000010908.1)". The record is from RNAcentral. Lineage: Eukaryota; Metazoa; Chordata; Aves; Passeriformes; Passerellidae.
AGAGUUGAAAAUUGAGAUUUUGAGACGAAUAUCUGAGAUUAUUUGGGUUCCGGGGGGUUUUAGGGGUGGUUUGGGGGGUUUAGGGGUCGGUAACGGUCGAGGAACCGCCGGUAACGGCGAUUUUGGGGCCAAUAACGGAGAUUUUCGGGGUUCCGUGUCCGGUAACGGCCGGGCCGUUCCGGUAACGCAGAUUUUGGGGUAAAAAUUGAGAUUUAGGGGUCCAUAACUGAGAUUUGGGGCGAAUAACGGAGAUUUAGGAGUCAAUAACAGAUAUUUGAGGUAAAUAACGGAGAUUUUGGGGGUUCCGGGACCGGCAACGGCCGGGCCCUUUCGGUAACGCAGAUUUUGGCAUGAAAUGUCGGAUUUGGGGUGAUUUGGGGCGGAUUCGCGGGAUUUCGGGAUUAUCUGGGGAAUUCGGGGCCGGUUUGGGGCAGAUUUUGAGGCAAUUUCGGGCCAAUUUUGGGGCAAUUUCGGAGUUUUUUGGGGUCGGCCCCGGCUGCCCCUCACGCCAAGCCCCGCCCCCUUCGGCCUCUGAUUGGCCGGGAGCUCAGCAGCGCCUCCGGAUUGGCUGAGAGCGGGGGAGUUGGAAAGGUGGGCGCGACCCGCUGGCGCCUCCGCUUCCCAUUGGCCGGUGGGGCGUCCCGCGGGAGGCGCUGAUUGGCUGCAAGGGGCGGGAGGGGCGGGGUUUGCCCUCCGGCGGUCACGUGGCGCGGGUGUCGCGCGGAGCGCGCGCGCGGAGCGGCCGCAGGUGUGCCACAGGUGUGCCGGGUCCCACGUGACCUACCCUCGGCUGUGUCACGUGUCUGCCUCACGUGUCGCCGGUGUCCUCAGGUGCGCUCACCUGUCCCAGGUGUGCCGAUGGCCGCCGCCCGCCUGGGCUGGCCCCGCGUGGGCUCCUCGGUUCUGUUCCUGUGCGAUCUCCAGGAGCGGUUCCGCGACUCCAUCGUCGCCUUCCCGCAGAUCGUGGCCGUGGCCGCGCGCAUGCUGCAGGUGGGGACGCCGGAACGGCCCCAAAUCGCCCCAAAAAUAACCCUAAAACACCCUCAGAAAUAUCCCAAAACCAUCCCCUAAAUACCCCGAAAACAGCAAAAAAAACCACCCCGAAAACAGCCCCAAAACACCCCAAAACCACCCUAAAAACACCCCCGAAAUCACCCCAAAAAUAACCCUAAAACCACCCUAAAAUCAUCCCCAAAAUACCCCCAA